Molecule: long non-coding RNA, 379 nt
Organism: Haliotis rubra (blacklip abalone)
Lineage: Eukaryota; Metazoa; Mollusca; Gastropoda; Lepetellida; Haliotidae
Exons: 3
Source: RefSeq, a predicted model, not a curated record
AUGCGGUUAUGUUAAGUCAUCGCUGUGCCGGAGUGUGGUAUCUAGUGCAAAUUUAAUCCAUCUUGCGCUUGCGCAAUACCUUCGUCUGUUACCCAAGCACCCGGACGUGUGUGAGUGUGUGUGUGUAAUUACACGUCUUUGCGGCAACGAACCAAGUAAAAGUAAAAGUCUGCUGAUCACAACUCAGGAUGUCGUCCACAACUCAAAAACAUCAGAGCUUUGUGUCAGAGUCAAUGGUAGGUAAGCCUGUGACUGCUCUACCGGGGAUAGGACCGGUUUUGGUGAAAGACUCAAUCGGGCAAGGUAUCAUCAGGCGACACAAGUUCUGGGCCAGUACCUGUUGGACCAAAAUGAGGAGAGCUUCAUAAACUGGCUGAUG